Halenospora varia is the source of this 90-nucleotide non-coding RNA. The record is from the annotation of a GenBank genome assembly. Lineage: Eukaryota; Fungi; Ascomycota; Leotiomycetes; Helotiales; Solenopeziaceae.
GCGUUUGUGGUUUAGUGGUAAAAUCCAUCGUUGCCACGUGACUUAGGUCACAGUUUCGAUGGGCCCCGGGUUCGAUUCCCGGCGAACGCA